RNAcentral lists this ribosomal RNA (274 nucleotides) under uncultured bacterium. Its description in RNAcentral is "partial 16S ribosomal RNA". It matches the Rfam family "Bacterial small subunit ribosomal RNA", at positions 80 to 353 of the family's 1533-position model. The record is from RNAcentral.
UAAGUUUGAUGGCGACCGGCGCACGGGUGAGUAACACGUAUCCAACCUGCCGAUGACUCGGGGAUAGCCUUUCGAAAGAAAGAUUAAUACCCGAUAGUAUAAUGAUUCCGCAUGGUUUCAUUAUUAAAGGAUUCCGGUAAAGGAUGGGGAUGCGUUCCAUUAGGUUGUUGGUGAGGUAACGGCUCACCAAGCCUUCGAUGGAUAGGGGUUCUGAGAGGAAGGUCCCCCACAUUGGAACUGAGACACGGUCCAAACUCCUACGGGAGGCAGCAUG